GUUCGUCACGAGCUAUAUAAUAAAUACGGAGACGUCUCCGUUUGGUGCUCCUUUUCUCAGCAGUCAAACAAAUGUCAUAGGAUCGCUAUGAGGAGUGGAUGUUUUCAUACGCAAUUUCGCGAUGACAUUUGUGUAUCCUGGGGCUGUUCAAACUUCACGUAUCGCGAAAUAGAUGUGACAUCAUGAUCCACCAAAAAGCGGAUGUUUUUAAGGAGUUAAAUAUCAGCGGGUCUCGUACGUUUUACGUCACUUGGAAAUGUGCAUCUGUACGAGCAAGCGUCUUUCCGCUAGCACCGAGAUCAAGUUGACGUCGUCUUCUCGACUACCCUCGUACAUCGAUCGCUCUUUCGGGCACACCAUAUGAAAUUCACGCGUUUUCUGAGACCAGUUCUGGCUUUUAUUCGGCAUAAGACGACUAUCGUCGAAGCUGCGAUUGCCAAGCACGUAAGAGCGGCGUCUUCAGACCGAAGCAGAAUGCAUUGCCCAGUUUCGACCGCAGAUGUUCAUCCUGCUGUUUUUGUCAGGGGGACAAACGAGGUCCGAAAACCAUGCCAAACGAAGCAUCAGGCUGAGAUCUAGGAGAACUUUGGCGUUUACACGAGAAAGGUAAUUUUUUAUUUGUGCUCUGCUAGUAUCUAGGUACACAUACGGCAUGUGUAGAGGAAUUCUCGAUACGCCUUUGAACUCUAGAAAUGUAGUGCUGCGGUGGUUUCCAGUGAGGUUUGGAUCCACCACAAAAGGCAGAGAACUCAAGAGUUUCGAAAAUAAAGAUUUCCUGGAUGUGACAGAAUGAGAAAGGCAAUAAGUCUCUAGGCGGCCGGCGUCGUGGAAAGAAGAAAGCAAAAGUAUAUUGGGGGAAGACUGGACUGGCUGUGUUGUCCCGUUACACAGACACGACUUCUCGUAGGCUGAGGGCAUUCAUUCACGGAAUCGAGGGACCUCACUCUUGGGUCGAAGACAGUUUCACACAUGAAUCUUGAAUACACCACCAUUACAGGACUGAUUGGAUUCUUAGGUAUCAGAAGGUUAACUUAGAGUAAAUAGAGUGUAAUCUGCACGAUUUGUUUUCCUCUUGUCGUCGGGGUAAUCGUAAGUCAAUGAUUCUCUGACAGAGUUCCUCGUGACUCUCCUUUCUGGAUCUACCAAAGUUAUUCGCUCCGAGUAGCACUGGUGGUAUUCUGUGGCGACGACCCCAUCUGAUCUACUGAGAUUCUCUGGUGCCUCUCUCAGUAACUCGCUCUCCCUUUUUCCGGCCUUUCCGCCAACCCCUUGGGUUUUACUUCGGAGGAGAGAAGAAUGUUUGUGCUCGUAUCUUCGGAUUACUGAGGGGCUCCGUCUCUCCCCCGACUAAAGGUCGGGACGUGUUGUGUAAGCGUGUGCUCGGUCCGAACAGCUGAAAGGUUCUAACAACUAUCCCAGAAAUUGGGCCUGAGCUAAGACUGCGAUAAAGCAGAUGCGGAUUCGCUUACAAGAUUGAUGCUCCUCGCAGUUCUCCGGUUUCACUCACUGUUUGUGGAAAGGCGUCCCGCAUACUGUAGGUCACGGUUGCAGUGUGUCCGGUGUUCUGCUAAUUCCCACAAACAGUGGUAUCAUAAGUUGAGGUGGAACCUUCAGAAGGAGCGAACUUUUUGACGGAUUUCGGCUAUUGUGUGCAAUUGCCAUCCAGUGUAAAAAUAGUGGCAGAGUCCUGUCAUGCUCAAAGCCGGGGCUGUCAUUGCUACUCACAGCACUGGUGCAAAAGAAACGAAAGUGGAUGUGAAGCAGGAUGGAUCUGCUUUCACGCACAGCAUGAAUCUGGUUAUUUCUUCGCAGAGGAAAGGAUCGAAAAGGAACCGAUGUCGUGUCGCCAUCGUGCAAUUGUGCCGACAUGUAUUUCUGUGUCCGUUGGUUUUGGUAACUUCGCUUCACAGAAAAAACAGCUAUGCUAGUAUUGAAUGAGUGGUUAUCGGAACAGGGCUGCAGCGGCGAAAAGCGUUCUGCUCCAUUCUCCUUCGCGUUACGACUACUGAGAGGUCACACUUGCCGCGUGGCUCGCAGUCACCACUGUACUCUGUAAAGUUUCCUCUCUGGAGGUCCACCUGUGCUUCCCCCAGUGUGCAUUGCCUCCCGACAUCUGCCCACUGGCGCGUCUGCUUCUGAGUUUGUCAAGUGGACGAUGAGAGUCGGGCUCUAAUCGCGAAUCAAGAAUUAUCGAGCUUAGAACCGUGUUUCGCUGUAGUGUGCAACGCGUCGAAUCCUAUGAGAUACCACACAUAAAACAACAUAAACACAGUUAAUUGAGGUUUUCUUGUUCUCUACCUGCCCUGCAACGCGUGGC
RNAcentral lists this long non-coding RNA (2317 nucleotides) under Toxoplasma gondii VEG. Lineage: Eukaryota; Apicomplexa; Conoidasida; Eucoccidiorida; Sarcocystidae. The record is from RNAcentral.